ACAGAUGCUAAUACCGCAUAGAUCCAAGAACCGCAUGGUUCUUGGCUGAAAGAUGGCGUAAGCUAUCGCUUUUGGAUGGACCCGCGGCGUAUUAGCUAGUUGGUGAGGUAAUGGCUCACCAAGGCGAUGAUACGUAGCCGAACUGAGAGGUUGAUCGGCCACAUUGGGACUGAGACACGGCCCAAACUCCUACGGGAGGCAGCAGUAGGGAAUCUUCCACAAUGGACGCAAGUCUGAUGGAGCAACGCCGCGUGAGUGAAGAAGGCUUUCGGGUCGUAAAACUCUGUUGUUGGAGAAGAAUGGUCGGCAGAGUAACUGUUGUCGGCGUGACGGUAUCCAACCAGAAAGCCACGGCUAACUACGUGCCAGCAGCCGCGGUAAUACGUAGGUGGCAAGCGUUAUCCGGAUUUAUUGGGCGUAAAGCGAGCGCAGGCGGUUUUUUAAGUCUGAUGUGAAAGCCCUCGGCUUAACCGAGGAAGCGCAUCGGAAACUGGGAAACUUGAGUGCAGAAGAGGACAGUGG
This 522-nucleotide ribosomal RNA is filed under the name Lacticaseibacillus paracasei. Its description in RNAcentral is "bacterial SSU rRNA". It matches the Rfam family "Bacterial small subunit ribosomal RNA", at positions 156 to 664 of the family's 1533-position model. The record is from RNAcentral. Lineage: Bacteria; Bacillati; Bacillota; Bacilli; Lactobacillales; Lactobacillaceae.